This 253-nucleotide ribosomal RNA is filed under the name uncultured bacterium. Its description in RNAcentral is "partial 16S ribosomal RNA". It matches the Rfam family "Bacterial small subunit ribosomal RNA", at positions 524 to 776 of the family's 1533-position model. The record is from RNAcentral.
UACGUAGGGUGCAAGCGUUGCUCGGAAUCACUGGGCGUAAAGGGUGCGUAGGCGGGUCUUUAAGUCAGGGGUGAAAUCCUGGAGCUCAACUCCAGAACUGCCUUUGAUACUGAGGAUCUUGAGUUCGGGAGAGGUGAGUGGAACUGCGAGUGUAGAGGUGAAAUUCGUAGAUAUUCGCAAGAACACCAGUGGCGAAGGCGGCUCACUGGCCCGAUACUGACGCUGAGGUGCGAAAGCGUGGGGAGCAAACAGG